Pyrus x bretschneideri (Chinese white pear) is the source of this 1192-nucleotide RNA transcript. RefSeq lists it as uncharacterized. NCBI's taxonomy places the organism in Eukaryota, Viridiplantae, Streptophyta, Magnoliopsida, Rosales, Rosaceae. The transcript is spliced from 6 exons. The record is from RefSeq and is a predicted model, not a curated record.
UCUUUAGACUUAGUCUUGAACAAAAUAAAUAAAGACCCACUCUCUGCUAAUGCGAUCCAGGUGUAGAAGUUAAUUAAUAAAUCAAAACUGAAUCGGUCUCAGAUUUCUUUAAAUACAGGCCAUGUCUCUCCUCAUUUUCCACUGAUCAUCUCCCAGUGACGAGAAAAGAAGAAGAAAAAAGAAAUUAAAAUCGCGAUGGGAAACGGUAAUCAGAACCAGAAGGAGGACCCGAACAGGUUGCGUGUGGAGUUCCCAAACGGCGCAAUUGCCUCAGGCACCCCUACCAUGCUUGGCAGACUCAUUAAUCGUGUUGCAGGAUAAUUUGCACUAAUUCAUUUCAACUAUGGAAAGGAGGAUUCCUAAUUUCUUCAAGUCACUUGCUUCAUAUCGACAUAUUAUCAAUGACAAGAACUGAGAGCACUAAACUCGUAUCGGGAUGCCCAAAUCCAAUGUUGGGGAUGACAAUAGCGGGAAGGGAGGCCCUCAUCAGAAAUGCUACACCAAGUAGCUUGAAGAAAUUAGGAAUAUCGUCGUGUUUAAAUUUAAUUUCUUGAAGAGACUUUUGUACUUUUUGUCUCUUCCUAACAAAAAGAGACCAACCCAAAGGAGGUAGGAAAAACACGUUCCUCCGCCAGCAAAGGAUUGUGGAAUUCUAUACCGAGCACCUCAGGUGGUUCGACCAAAAUAAAAGCCACUUCAGUGGCAACAGCAGCAACGAGCAAAGAAAACACUGACGGGAUGGUUAACCAGAUUCAAAAGGGAGCAAUUAAUAUGGCGCAAAAUGUUCAGAAGGGAGCUGUUGAGAUGGCACAAAAUGCUCCAAAGAAAGCUGUUGAGAUGGCGCAAAAUGCUCCAAAAAAAGCUUCUGAACUAAAGGAAAAACUUCGAAGGAAGUUCUUUCCAAAACCAUGGGAGAAACCUGAAUAUCAGGCAUUGUACUUCGCUAGACAAAAUGUCCCGAAGAAAGAUGCCCCACGUAUUGAUCCUGAAGUCUUCAUCGGAAAAAAAAAAAAUUGGUGAAAUUAAAGAAGGCAAACAUUGCCUGCGGUCGUGCCACGGAAGUUAAACAAAGAAAGAUACCGUGGAUUCACAAAAUCAAUUUAUAGCUUAUUUGGAGGCAAGACUGUAUAAUUUAUUUUUGGUGAGAAAACAUAAAAUAAAGAGGGGGAUGCAACACGAGGAUUUUCCAAGA